AGAACCUGAAGGAGAAAAAGCACAAGUUGAAGAACAACCUGCAGGACCUGCACCAAGAGAUCAAGGAAACAAAGGUGGAAGGAACCAGGAACUUUUUAGAUAAAUUUCGGAAUCCCAACUGACAGCAGCAGCUCCAGAACGCAGAAGACGAGGAUUAAUUUUGAGACCAAGAUGGGAAAAAGGAGCCACAACAUAAAAUCUGAGACACUAGUAAUUAUUUUCUAAACUGGAUUGUUGUUGAAUGCCACUGCUACACUGCUAUCACCUACAGACAUUGUAACUGCAUGGUGGUGAUGAAGUUGUAAAUUGCUAUACAUGAUGGUCCACAUACCCCAGAGUUAAACUCUGGCAUAAUGUAAAUGCUUUGUCCAGUUGGUAGUGUACUGUCACUAAAAGGUGACAGACAUUACCUCAGCUGGAAUCACUCAUGGACACUUUUAAAGAAAUGUUGGUCAAUCCCUGGGUUAGUACAGUGGCACAACACUGGGUAAACUCUAACCAGUUCUUAAGGGUAGGAAACCAUUGGGUCACCAAUUAAAGCCGGGGUAGGCAGAAAUCUGGAAAAGGGAAAAAACAAACAAAACAAACAAACAAAAAAUACAUUUGAAAAUACACCCUCCCCCUGCAGCUCUCCCCUCUCUAAGCUCAUCCCACCAGACCACCACCAGUUGCAUGCAGUUCAGUCACUCAGCCCUUUCUUGCCCCACUCUCUCUUGUUCUAUCAGACCACAAUUGAGACAACAAUUAGUUGCUGACCACCCCACCAUCCCUUUGCAUUGCUCCCCACCACUGUGAACUACUUUGCGGGGAGGAGAAUCAGCAGCACCCUGGGAGACGGACCUUUGGUCCGCGCAAAAUCCCGAAAAGUAAGUGUCAAGGAGAGCUACUGGCAGUUCCUCUGAGCUGUGGUUUGCGCUGGCUGAUAUAUCGCUACUGCAGCUGCUGACAGGGGGCCAAAGUAUCCCAUCACAGGCAAGAUUUUCUAAAGCCUGAAAACAGAGUCAAGAGGAGGUGCAGUAGUCUAGUUUUUUCUCAGUCCAUUUAAAAUCCAAAAUACUCAAGGUUUAUGGGAUGUUCACCCAUUGAUGCCAAAAUCAUACUGCCUACCCCGGCUUGGCAAUGGGUUGCUUUGACCCACUGUUAGCAUUAUUUCUUUAUGUAACUACUGUGUUAUUUACCUGUACCUAAGUUUUGUUGACUUGGUGUUCUAACUUAGAACCAUCACAAAUGUAUUGUUAGUUGUACAAAACAACAUGCAUAUGACAUUCAAAAUAGCAAAGGAUAUAUUAUUUAAGAUUAGCAAUAAAAGUGAGCAAAAAUAGACUGACAAUUUGCAACCACCUUACUCAGUAAGUCAAUAACUCAACAGUAAUGUAAAAAAAAUAACACUAGCCAGGGCCAGUCCUUUUGAUACAGGGGCACAUACAGAUGAUUUAUCCUGGCUUCAUAUGAGCAGAGGAAAUCUUCACUCAUCACCAGGCUAAUUUAUAGUACAAUGUAAAAUGCCAUAGGCUUGUGCUAUCAAGCAUGUCAUAUUUGUUUAGUAUAAGACAGUUGUUUUGUCAAUGAACCUUGUGAGCUGUAAUGGAGCCAAAUUGUGUGCCAUUACCUUUGUUAAAUGUAGCUGUUGUCCCUGGCUUCAUAUGAGUAGAGAGAAGUCCGCUAGCCAGUAGGCUAAUUUAUACAAUGUAAAAUGCCAUAGGCUUGUGCUAAUAACGUUAGCAUGUUGUAUUCGUGGGGAAAAUGUGUCCAGAUAAAGACAAGUGUUUGUCUGUGAAUGCUGCGAGUUAUAGUGAAGCUGAUUUGUGUACUUGUGUUUGAAAAUGACGCUAUUAAGCCAUGUUUAAUGUGUGUUUAAUGUAUGUUUAAUGUGUGUUUUGAAUCAACUAAACUUUACAGCACUUCACAGAAACCCCGCUACUGACUCGUGUUUUGGAGGUGUAACUGCAGACUGACAUAGUCACACCACCGCACAAGUAUAAAUCCUCAUAACAGCUUAGGCUCUGCAUAGAGCUGCUGCACAAGUUUAAAUCCGCCUUUACAUGUCAUGUCCGUCACGCUUCUUAAUUGUGUAAUGCUGGCAUGCUGUCUAAAAUCACACACUGGAGCAGAAUGAUACCUGUUGUUUUUUCUGUAUAAAAAUGCAAAGGAGGCAUAAAAAGGGAUGUCAGCUCUGUGUAAAAAGGUCUAUAGUAGAAACUGGUCUCUUUUGGGGUUCGGUUUACUUGUA
This is a long non-coding RNA of Epinephelus fuscoguttatus (brown-marbled grouper), 2230 nucleotides long. RefSeq lists it as uncharacterized. Lineage: Eukaryota; Metazoa; Chordata; Actinopteri; Perciformes; Serranidae. The record is from RefSeq and is a predicted model, not a curated record. The transcript is spliced from 3 exons.